UACAGAGGUCCCAAGCGUUGUUCAGAUUCAUUGGGCGUAAAGGGUGCGUAGGUGGCGCCGUAAGUCGGGUGUGAAAUUUCGGAGCUUAACUCCGAAACUGCAUUCGAUACUGCGGUGCUUGAGGACUGGAGCGGAGACUGGAAUUCAUGGUGUAGCAGUGAAAUGCGUAGAGAUCAUGAGGAAGACCAGUGGCGAAGGCGGGUCUCUGGACAGUUCCUGACACUGAGGCACGAAGGCCAGGGGAGCAAACGGG
Molecule: ribosomal RNA, 253 nt
Filed under: uncultured bacterium
Lineage: Bacteria
Description: partial 16S ribosomal RNA
Rfam family: Bacterial small subunit ribosomal RNA
Source: RNAcentral